RNAcentral lists this ribosomal RNA (253 nucleotides) under uncultured prokaryote. RNAcentral describes it as "partial 16S ribosomal RNA". It matches the Rfam family "Bacterial small subunit ribosomal RNA", at positions 524 to 776 of the family's 1533-position model. The record is from RNAcentral.
UACGGGGGGGGCAAGCGUUGUUCGGAAUUACUGGGCGUAAAGGGCUCGUAGGCGGCCAACUAAGUCAUACGUGAAAUCCCUCGGCUUAACCGGGGAACUGCGUCUGAUACUGGAUGGCUUGAGUUCGGGAGAGGGAUGCGGAAUUCCAGGUGUAGCGGUGAAAUGCGUAGAUAUCUGGAGGAACACCGGUGGCGAAGGCGGCGUUCUGGACUGUUUCUGACACUGAAAAACGAAAGCCAGGGGAGCAAACGGG